Dermacentor albipictus is the source of this 542-nucleotide long non-coding RNA. RefSeq lists it as uncharacterized. NCBI's taxonomy places the organism in Eukaryota, Metazoa, Arthropoda, Arachnida, Ixodida, Ixodidae. The record is from RefSeq and is a predicted model, not a curated record.
CUGGCAAUGGCGGUGUGCGGUGGUGGUAUACCUGUUGCGUUUGGGAUUUCACUGAGAGAAUAAGAAGGAAUCGACGAUGGACUGUUACGUAACUAUUGCACCAGUGAAGGAUGUCUGUGUGCCGGUUUGUGCUCAGUUUCUCAGCCAGCAGGCCUGAAAAAGUGUGCCACAGCAGUCUGUCUAGUGGUGCUCUUUGUUCUGGAAGGACGCAAGCAUUGCAAGGAGCCAUUUGACCUGCCGCCACACUAAUAUUGUAUUUGGCAAAGCCGAAAGCCUCUGCAAGCAGCCAGUCAUUCCAAGUCUCAACCAAUCCUUCCUCUAGUCAGCCAAUUUCUAGUGUCUAUGCGGAGAGGACUUGCGCAAGAGUGGACACGGGACACUAAAAAGGCGACAAGGACAGACGUAAACUUCCAACCGGUGUUCAUUACAAAAAGGUAUGUAUAUGUACUCUUGCACACUUGAUCAUAAUCUGUUACAAUCGUGCAAGUCAACAUGGCCAUCACAAAUAAACGAGCGCACCAAGGCCUAAGGCGGCUUCUUGC